GACGAACGCUGGCGGCGUGCUUAACACAUGCCAGUCGAACGGUGAAGGGAUCAGCUUGCUGGUUCUGGAUGAGUGGCGAACGGGUGAGUAACACGUGAGUAACCUGCCCCCUUCUUCUGGAUAACCGCAUGAAAGUGUGGCUAAUACGGGAUAUUCUGGGUCUGUCGCAUGAUGGGUCUGGGAAAGAUAUUGUUUCGGUGGGGGAUGGGCUCGCGGCCUAUCAGCUUGUUGGUGGGGUGAUGGCCUACCAAGGCGGUGACGGGUAGCCGGCCUGAGAGGGUGGACGGUCACACUGGGACUGAGACACGGCCCAGACUCCUACGGGAGGCAGCAGUGGGGAAUAUUGCACAAUGGGCGCAAGCCUGAUGCAGCGACGCCGCGUGAGGGAUGGAGGCCUUCGGGGUGUAAACCUCUUUCGCCAGUGAAGCAGGCCUGCUCCGUGUGGGUGGGUUGACGGUAGCUGGAGAAGAAGCGCCGGCUAACUACGUG
RNAcentral lists this ribosomal RNA (489 nucleotides) under uncultured bacterium. RNAcentral's name for it is "partial 16S ribosomal RNA". It matches the Rfam family "Bacterial small subunit ribosomal RNA", at positions 28 to 507 of the family's 1533-position model. The record is from RNAcentral.